UACGGAGGGGGCUAGCGUUGUUCGGAAUUACUGGGCGUAAAGCGCACGUAGGCGGACUGUUAAGUCGGGGGUGAAAUCCCGGGGCUCAACCCCGGAAUGGCCUUCGAUACUGGCGGUCUUGAGGUCUGGAGAGGUGAGUGGAAUUCCGAGUGUAGAGGUGAAAUUCGUAGAGAUUCGGAGGAACACCAGUGGCGAAGGCGGCUCACUGGCCAGAUUCUGACGCUGAGGUGCGAAAGAGUGGGGAGCAAACAGG
Molecule: ribosomal RNA, 253 nt
Filed under: uncultured bacterium
Lineage: Bacteria
Description: partial 16S ribosomal RNA
Rfam family: Bacterial small subunit ribosomal RNA
Source: RNAcentral